GACGAACGCUGGCGGCGUGCUUAACACAUGCAAGUCGAACGGAAAGGCCCUGCUUUUGUGGGGUGCUCGAGUGGCGAACGGGUGAGUAGCACGUGAGUAACCUGCCCUUGACUUUGGGAUAACUUCAGGAAACUGGGGCUAAUACCGGAUAGGAGCUCCUGCUGCAUGGUGGGGGUUGGAAAGUUUCGGCGGUUGGGGAUGGACUCGCGGCUUAUCAGCUUGUUGGUGGGGUAGUGGCUUACCAAGGCUUUGACGGGUAGCCGGCCUGAGAGGGUGACCGGCCACAUUGGGACUGAGAUACGGCCCAGACUCCUACGGGAGGCAGCAGUGGGGAAUAUUGCACAAUGGGCGGAAGCCUGAUGCAGCAACGCCGCGUGCGGGAUGACGGCCUUCGGGUUGUAAACCGCUUUCGCCUGUGACGAAGCGUGAGUGACGGUAAUGGGUAAGGAAGCACCGGCUAACUACGUG
This 468-nucleotide ribosomal RNA is filed under the name uncultured bacterium. RNAcentral's name for it is "partial 16S ribosomal RNA". It matches the Rfam family "Bacterial small subunit ribosomal RNA", at positions 28 to 507 of the family's 1533-position model. The record is from RNAcentral.